AAACCACUAGUGAAUAAGGGGUGGGCAAGUUCUGGUGUCAGCCGCCGCGGUAAAACCAGCACCUCAAGUGGUCAGGAGGAUUAUUGGGCCUAAAGCAUCCGUAGCCGGCUCUGUAAGUUUUCGGUUAAAUCCAUGUGCUCAACGCAUGGGCUGCCGAAAAUACUGCAUAGCUAGGGAGUGGGAGAGGUAGACGGUACUCGGUAGGAAGGGGUAAAAUCCUUUGAUCUAUCGAUGACCACCUGUGGCGAAGGCGGUCUACCAGAACACGUUCGACGGUGAGGGAUGAAAGCUGGGGGAGCAAACCGGAUUAGAUACCCGGGUAGUCCCAGCUGUAAACGAUGCAGACUCGAUGAUGCAUUGGCAUAGAGCUAUUGCAGUAUCGCAGGGAAGCCGUUAAGUCUGCCGCCUGGGAAGUACGUACGCAAGUAUGAAACUUAAAGGAAUUGGCGGGGGAGCACCACAAGGGGUGAAGCCUGCGGUUCAAUUGGAGUCAACGCCGGG
RNAcentral lists this ribosomal RNA (501 nucleotides) under uncultured Nitrososphaerota archaeon. RNAcentral's name for it is "bacterial SSU rRNA". It matches the Rfam family "Archaeal small subunit ribosomal RNA", at positions 422 to 922 of the family's 1478-position model. Lineage: Archaea; Thermoproteati; Nitrososphaerota. The record is from RNAcentral.